RNAcentral lists this ribosomal RNA (399 nucleotides) under uncultured bacterium. RNAcentral describes it as "bacterial SSU rRNA". It matches the Rfam family "Bacterial small subunit ribosomal RNA", at positions 145 to 578 of the family's 1533-position model. The record is from RNAcentral.
AACCAUUGGAAACGAUGGCUAAUACCGCAUACGCCCUAUUGGGGAAAGAUUUAUCGGUGUUGGAUUGGCCCGCGUUAGAUUAGCUAGUUGGUGGGGUAAUGGCUCACCAAGGCGACGAUUUAUAGCUGGUUUGAGAGGAUGAUCAGCAACACUGGAACUGAGACACGGUCCAGACUCCUACGGGAGGCAGCAGUCGGGAAUAUUGUGCAAUGGGGGCAACCCUGACACAGCCAUGCCGCGUGAGUGAAGAAGGCCUUAGGGUUGUAAAGCUCUUUCAGAUGUGAGGAUGAUGACGAUAGCAUCAGAAGAAGCUCCGGCCAACUUCGUGCCAGCAGCCGCGGUAAUACGAAGGGAGCUAGCGUUGUUCGGAAUUACUGGGCGUAAAGGGCGUGUAGGCGG